RNAcentral lists this non-coding RNA (235 nucleotides) under Lachnoclostridium phytofermentans. Its description in RNAcentral is "Clostridium phytofermentans T-box sequence". It matches the Rfam family "T-box leader". From Rfam's summary of the family: Uncharged tRNA acts as the effector for transcription antitermination of genes in the T-box leader family. Lineage: Bacteria; Bacillati; Bacillota; Clostridia; Lachnospirales; Lachnospiraceae. The record is from RNAcentral.
AAAGUUGCGAUGAAGAGGAAUAGUAUAUAGGUAAGUCAUUUUAGAGAGAGAGUGGCUGGUGAAAACUCUUAUGAAGCCGAAUAGAACCUACCUUGGAGCACUGUACGCUAUAAAUAUAGCAUACGUUAUGAUAAUAACAUAUCGUAUAAAAUACAGCGUAAAUCGGCGUUAACGAUAGGAGUGAAUUGCGCAAGCAAUUAAUUUGGGUGGUACCACCGAAGUUUCGGUCCCUUGU